Molecule: ribosomal RNA, 781 nt
Filed under: uncultured marine bacterium
Lineage: Bacteria
Description: bacterial SSU rRNA
Rfam family: Bacterial small subunit ribosomal RNA
Source: RNAcentral
GCAAGUCGAACGAAGUAGCAAUACUUAGUGGCAGACGGGUGAGUAACAUGUGGGUAUCUUCCCUAUGGUGAGGAAUAACACGAGGAAACUUGUGCUAAUACCUCAUAAGUCUUUACGGAGAAAGCUUUAUGCGCCAUUGGAUGAGCCCGCACUUGAUUAGUUUGUUGGUAGGGUAACGGCCUACCAAGACUGUGAUCAAUAGCUGAUUUGAGAGGAUGAUCAGCCACAUUGGGACUGAGACACGGCCCAAACUCCUACGGGAGGCAGCAGUAAGGAAUCUUGCACAAUGGAGGAAACUCUGAUGCAGCGAUGCCGCGUGAGUGAAGAAGGCCUUUGGGUUGUAAAGCUCUUUCGUCGGGGAAGAAAAUGACUGUACCCGAAUAAGAAGGUCCGGCCAACUUCGUGCCAGCAGCCGCGGUAAUACGAAGGGACCUAGCGUAGUUCGGAAUUACUGGGCUUAAAGAGUUCGUGGGUGGUUAAAAAAGUUGGUGGUGAAAUCCCAGAGCUUAACUCUGGAACUGCCAUCAAAACUUGUUAGCUAGAGUAUGAUAGAGGAAAGCAGAAUUUCUAGUGUAGAGGUGAAAUUCGUAGAUAUUAGAAAGAAUACCAAUUGCGAAGGCAGCUUUCUGGAUCAUUACUGACACUGAGGAACGAAAGCAUGGGUAGCGAAGAGGAUUAGAUACCCUCGUAGUCCAUGCCGUAAACGAUGUGUGCUAGACGUUGGAAAUUUAUUUUCAGUGUCGCAGCGAAAGCGAUAAACACACCGCCUGGGGAGUACGAC